UUUCCCAUCUUCCUUAUUUGUUUCUCUCUCUCUUUUCUUCUUUUUCCUUCGUGUUCUCCAUCCUUUCUCACUCACCGACUCUAAUUCCCAUCCCUUCUCGAUUUUUCUUUGUUGACCUUCUCUCUCUCUGUCUUAAGAAGUGACUCCCGACGGGGCAGCAAUUUGGGAUCUUGUGACAAGCAGUCAGCUGUUCAUGGUUCUGUUUCUGUUGUAAUAUCAGUUCUCAAGGGUCCUGUAAGAAGCUGUCCUCACUUCAAGAAAACAGCCCAACAGAGUGAUGCUAAAAAGCACCAGACGGCUCAAAAAAAUUACAAGUAUGAUCAGGAACCCCUAUGCAUUAAAGUCAGCAACCCAAUCACAAGUGAAAUGCAUUAAUUCAGCUAGUGCAGGAAGGAAGAAGUGACUCCUGACGGGGAAGCCAAUUUGGGAUCCUGUAAGAAACUGUCCUCACUCCAAGGUUUGCUCUACCCUGUGAAUAUCAACUUCGUUUAUACUUUUGGUUUGCCUCAAUUAAGUUUCACUGACAAAGCCAACGUAGUUUCACUGACUGCUGAGAUUAUUGAACUGGAGCAUGCACCCCUCAGCAACCA
Molecule: long non-coding RNA, 590 nt
Organism: Ipomoea nil (Japanese morning glory)
Lineage: Eukaryota; Viridiplantae; Streptophyta; Magnoliopsida; Solanales; Convolvulaceae
Exons: 5
Source: RefSeq, a predicted model, not a curated record